GGAGUUAGCCGGUGCUUCUUCUGUGAGUGAUGUCCUUCCUGCCGGCUAUUAACCCGCAGGCCUUCUUCCUCACUGAAAGUGCUUUACAACCCGAAGGCCUUCUUCACACACGCGGCAUGGCUGGAUCAGGGUUGCCCCCAUUGUCCAAUAUUCCCCACUGCUGCCUCCCGUAGGAGUCUGGGCCGUGUCUCAGUCCCAGUGUGGCUGAUCAUCCUCUCAGACCAGCUACGGAUCGUCGCCUUGGUGAGCCGUUACCUCACCAACCAGCUAAUCCGACAUAGGCUCAUCCGAUAGCGCGAGGCCCGAAGGUCCCCCGCUUUCCCCCGUAGGCGUAUGCGGUAUUAGCCUGGGUUUCCCCAGGUUAUCCCCCACUACCGGGCAGAUUCCUAUGCAUUACUCACCCGUCCGCCGCUCGCCACCAGGGAGCAAGCUCCCCGUGCUGCCGCUCGACUUGCAUGUGUUAGGCCUGCCGCCACGCGUCAUCUGAGCAGAUACAACUACUGA
RNAcentral lists this ribosomal RNA (504 nucleotides) under uncultured bacterium. RNAcentral's name for it is "partial 16S ribosomal RNA". The record is from RNAcentral.